RNAcentral lists this unclassified non-coding RNA (324 nucleotides) under soil metagenome. RNAcentral describes it as "partial contains 5.8S ribosomal RNA, internal transcribed spacer 2, and large subunit ribosomal RNA". The stretch from base 1 to 120 matches the Rfam family "5.8S ribosomal RNA", at positions 35 to 154 of the family's 154-position model. The record is from RNAcentral.
GAUGAAGAACGUAGCGAAAUGCGAUAAGUAGUGUGAAUUGCAGAAUUCAGUGAAUCAUCGAAUCUUUGAACGCACAUUGCGCCCCUUGGUAUUCCAUGGGGCAUGCCUGUUCGAGCGUCAUUUGUACCUUCAAGCUUUGCUUGGUGUUGGGUGUUUGUCCCGAGAGACUCGCCUUAAAGUAAUUGGCAGCCAGUGUUUGGUUUUGAAGCGCAGCACAAGUCGCGAUUCAAGGCUACACGCCCGCUUCCACAAGCCUUUUUUCACUUUUGACCUCGGAUCAGGUAGGGAUACCCGCUGAACUUAAGCAUAUCAAUAAGCGGAGGA